Molecule: ribosomal RNA, 425 nt
Filed under: uncultured eukaryote
Lineage: Eukaryota
Description: SSU rRNA
Rfam family: Eukaryotic small subunit ribosomal RNA
Source: RNAcentral
CAAUAGCGUAUACUAAAGUUGUUGCAGUUAAAAAGCUCGUAGUUGAAUUUCUGGUCGUGAAAAGUGGUCCGUUCCGCAAGGAAUGUGUACUGUCUAUUCAUGUCCAUCCUCGGAGUUAGUGUGUAUUACUUUAAUCGGUCGUGCAUACAAUACUUCGUCAUUUACUGUGAGCAAAAUAGAGUGUUCAAAGCAGGCUUAUGCCGUUGAAUAUAUUAGCAUGGAAUAAUAAGAUAUGACUUUGGUCUAUUUUGUUGGUUUGCACUCCAAAGUAAUGAUUAAUAGGGAUAGUUGGGGGUAUUCGUAUUCAAUUGUCAGAGGUGGAAUUCUCGGAUUUGUUAAAGACUAACUUAUGCGAAAGCAUUUGCCAAGGAUGUUUUCAUUAAUCAAGAACGAAAGUUAGGGGAUCAAAGACGAUUAGAUACCAU